CUGCACAGUAUAACCUAUUCUCUGACUUCAGCGUGGAAACAGUGCGUGGCAUUAAGAACGGCUUCUCCGUGGGAGCAGCGUAAACGUGGACCAAGCGCUCGUGGUGAGAACAGAAGACACGUCCACACGAGUUGCCAUCACCGGCAGGCCGGACUUGGACAGUUGGGGCGGAGGAAGAGGCAAGAAAGAGGGAAGGGAGAUGAGGAGAGGAAGACCAAGGGGGUUAUAGGUGCUGUCCUUAAAGAUUCGCCUCUACGAUGCAAUCUGAUUCAGGAGCUGAAAGGAUAACAGAGAAGAGGGAAAAAAAGGAGCUGAAUGGAGUGAGAAAGGAGUGGAAGCGUGGGUGGAGGCGAGCAUUUUGUGCUCCGGUCUCGACCACGGGUAUUCUUGGGUUGAUAAUACAGAUGUGGAUGUUAUUGCUUGAGAAUACGCGUAGUCGAGGGGAAGCUUUAUCAUCAACACUGGAUCUGAUGUGGAGAUCUGUUCUGUAGUGCUGCAGAGUCCAAACACAUAAGGGAAGGAACAAAUGGAAAUGUUUGGUCAAUCAGAUUUUUGAAUUACCUUACCUUGUAAGAGUACUCAUAAACCUUAAGGUUUUCUGCAUUUUGUCACAUUGUAGCCACAAACUUCAAUUAGGUUUAUUGGGAUUAUUAUUGGGAUCUCUUAUAAAAUCCCAAUAACUGUGUACUUUGUGCCCAAUUAUGCUCAAACUAGUGCAUAAUUGUGAAGUGAAGGGAAACAUUUUAUAAAAAACAUUUUUAACAUUUUUACAAAUAAAAAUCCAAGAAGUUGGCCAUGAUUUUGCUCCGAUACCCCUAAAUAAACUUUGGUUCAUUCAUUCAAGAUCAGAGAAGCAGAAUCACUAACUCUGGAGGAGCAGCAGAGAUUCACAGCCCAGUCAGGAAAAUCUGUCGAUGAUGUGUCGAUAUGAUUUGUUGGCCAGAAGAACCAGAACAAGUCCGGUUCGCCUCAAGCCAUGUAGGGAACACAGCAGAAACGUGGUAGAAGGUGUUUUGAUCAGAUGAGACUAAAACUUUCUGGCAUGCAAGAAAAAUCCCAUGUGUAGCUGAAAGCUAGCACAGCACAUCCUUCUGAGAAACACAAGCCAAAACUAGCCAAGAAGAUACAACGAGCUUUGUGGCUGUAAUGUGACAAAAUGUGACAAAAAGUUAAACGGAAGUGAUUACUUUUGCAAGGCAAAGUAAAAAGCAAUUGAGGCUUGCCAGGAGUCUCAAUUGAAUUGAGCCACUAACAAGGUGUUAUCAGCCGUGUCACUCUGUCCACCUGUGGAGCUGGUGUGUUCAGCAGCUCCUUCACAAGAAGCUUUGCACCAUGCUGCUCGGCUAAAACCCAGGCAGUUCUGGGAGCUUAUCUCAAAAGUCUUCACCACUGCACAUUAAAUCUUUUGAUUAUGUACUCUUGUCAUUCAUAAGCGAUGUCAUAGUCUCAUCAUUUCAUGGCUGUCUUUUGUUGUUUUUAUGUCUAUAUUCAUUCCAAACAAGAAGUCCUUAAAUUUCCAGAUACGGUGCCUGAGAAUUUUGCUCAGCAGCGAGCCCAUCCACACUACCCCCUGCGCUCCGAUUUUUUUCCACUCUCCAGCUCAAACCUUAUAAAAGGAGUAAAAAAAAAAGUGCUAGUUUGAUGCCAGUAGCUGCAGCAACAGGAGACAGUAACACAUGAGGACAUGUAAAGCUUGCACCCGUGGCUGACAUUUCAGCAUUUUGACUCAGUUGACUGGCUGUCAUGAUGCAGAAUCAGACUCACACUGACACAAACACAGGAUCUACAUGCCAGCAGGGAAACAGUGGGGUUUGAUGGAGCUCAUGACAACAGGCACAUGGAUAGAUCCCGUCCAUUUGAGCACACAUGCGAUGCUGCGUGAAGGUUCACUGGGUCCGUACGC
This is a long non-coding RNA of Xiphophorus maculatus (southern platyfish), 1903 nucleotides long. RefSeq lists it as uncharacterized. The transcript is spliced from 3 exons. The record is from RefSeq and is a predicted model, not a curated record. NCBI's taxonomy places the organism in Eukaryota, Metazoa, Chordata, Actinopteri, Cyprinodontiformes, Poeciliidae.